CCAAAGCAAGAUUUUCUGGACAGGCAGGGUUUCUGACUGUCUGGAGGCUCCCAGGGAGCUUGUGCCAUACCUACCGGUGGUGCUUCGAUGGAUCCGCAGCUACUGUGAUGAAAGCUUGUGCGUCCUCCAUGGCAUCGAAGUACUCCGUCUCCUCAUCUUCAUCACUGGCUUCCGCUUUCACGCUCUGUACGCUCCCUCCUGGCAGAGAGGCAAUAAUACCCAGGCUGUGAAUAUAUC
Long non-coding RNA from Lacerta agilis (Sand lizard), 237 nucleotides. RefSeq lists it as uncharacterized. The transcript is spliced from 3 exons. The record is from RefSeq and is a predicted model, not a curated record. NCBI's taxonomy places the organism in Eukaryota, Metazoa, Chordata, Lepidosauria, Squamata, Lacertidae.